RNAcentral lists this ribosomal RNA (496 nucleotides) under uncultured bacterium. Its description in RNAcentral is "partial 16S ribosomal RNA". It matches the Rfam family "Bacterial small subunit ribosomal RNA", at positions 28 to 507 of the family's 1533-position model. The record is from RNAcentral.
GAUGAACGCUGGCGGCGUGCCUAAUACAUGCAAGUCGAGCGAACGGACGAGAAGCUUGCUUUUCUGAUGUUAGCGGCGGACGGGUGAGUAACACGUGGAUAACCUACCUAUAAGACUGGGAUAACUUCGGGAAACCGGAGCUAAUACCGGAUAAUAUUUUGAACCGCAUGGUUCGUAAGUGAAAGACGGUCUUGCUGUCACUUAUAGAUGGAUCCGCGCUGCAUUAGCUAGUUGGUAAGGUAACGGCUUACCAAGCAACGAUGCAUAGCCGACCUGAGAGGGUGAUCGGCCACACUGGAACUGAGACACGGUCCAGACUCCUACGGGAGGCAGCAGUAGGGAAUCUUCCGCAAUGGGCGAAAGCCUGACGGAGCAACGCCGCGUGAGUGAUGAAGGUCUUCGGAUCGUAAAACUCUGUUAUUAGGGAAGAACAUAUGUGUAAGUAACUGUGCACAUCUUGACGGUACCUAAUCAGAAAGCCACGGCUAACUACGUG